AAUCCGAACGUUUCGCGAGUCCGGUCGGUUCUCCUACUACAAUACGCAUGAAUUCAAGUCUGUUAUACAAUUAUUAUUUAAUUCUCUCGUACACAUCGGUAUAAAAUAUUAUAUUUCGCCAUUAUACACGCAAGUAUAAUACACAAUAUACGUAUACGCAAUACACAAUAUUAUUACAUUGCACUCGUAUUAUACAGGCAUUAUAAUCAUAUCCUUAAUAUACGACUCAUCGUUAUUAUUAUUAUUAUUAUUAUUAUUAUUAUUAUUACGCGUCGACACGUUUCUAUAAUAUGUUUUCCGCCGACGUCCCGACCGCGGCCGGAACUCGCCGGGUGAAAUAAAACGAAUAUCGUUCCAAACCGACUCGCAAACUAACGGACGGGGGCGGUACAGGUUGUUACUAAUAUGUAGAAUAUGUUCGGUUGUUAUCCGUGUAAAAGUCCGGCACCGCGUAAAACAGAUUGAAAAUAGCCAUUUACAGUGUACACUGAUAAUAAUAAUGUGUGUCCUUCGAACGCGAGCAGAAAGGGAACGCGAUCAAAACGUCCAAUGAUAACUGAAGUUUUCCCGGAGAGAUCGAAAAAUACGUUUUCUUUCCGUCGCGGCUGCUGCAAGAGGGUUACGGGCGAAUCAUAUAUUUUUUUUUUAAUGUUAAUAUGCAAUACGUAAUUUCGAAAAACGGACGUGUCUCGUUUUUCGGCAAUCAGUAGCGAUUUGUGUGUACUACGUCCUCUCCUCUCUUCCUCCAGCGUUUACACGUCAUCCGCAAUAACGUCUGUGUUAGGUACACCUAAUAAUAAUUAAUAAUAAUAACUAUUCAUAUAGGUGCUAAAAAAAAAAAAAAUUAAAAUUGAAUUCGACGUGUCUCUGAAUAUUAUAUAAAUAUAUUUUUUUCGUUAGAAAUAUUAAUACUUUACGGCACUUAUAUAGGGUGUGUUUCGUUUAUUCGUAUUGGCACGACGUACGCAAUGUAGGUACGAAAUCGUUUGGUGUUAUAAUACAAGAAUUUAAUGCCACUACCGUACACUAUUUGAGGUUAUAAUAAUAAUACAGGCGGUACUCGUAUACAAUAAAAAUAUCCUGUCGUCAUUACGCGAGGUUGUGUUUUGAAAUAAUAUUCUCUAAAUAAAUGUUACGAGACAGACAGAGAAAGAGAGAGAGAGAGAGAUAACUCGGGACGUUUUUCACGGAUGUUUUCUGUGUCCAAACGGAUACCCCGCAGUAGAGUAAGAUUUCGCUUAUUGCGUGGCCAUCGGUAAAAAAAACGGUAAACAAUGAAUUGGACCGGAGAGUUUGUAAUGAAAUGUUAUAUUUUACGUAGGAAAUGCUCUCUCGCUGCUGGCGUGACGGUAGGGUAAACCGGGGUAAGAGUCUAAAAGGUAACGGCAAGGUGUGCGGUGUGCGUAAUGUCGCGGAGCUUCGUAUCGAGGAGAGCGGAAGACACGCAACGGAUAUUUACCGACGAAAUUCCCGGGAACCGUUGACCAGAUACAAAUAUUGUAAUGAAACGGUGUUCGUCCCGAUACCGGUCGAACGAUGAACAUUACCAUCGGGUAACGCCUUCGUGUUCGCGCCUCUCCUCCCACCCCCCUUUCGGAAAUCGAUAUGAAAAAUAUUCUAAUAUCGCGUCGUCCGUAUACACGCGUCGUACGCGUAUACCGCAUCCCGACAAAAUAAUAAUUAGGAUAUUCACGUCACGGCGACGACCGCGAUAACAUUAUUGUAACGGAUAUAAUUUUCUCUAGAGACAUACAAAUUUUUUGUGUAGAUAAUAAUAUUCUCUCGGUUCACAAGGCCCGUCGAUAUUCGCCAUCAAAUUCCCGUCACGUAAACGUGUAAAGCUCCGGUCGGCCCCGCCCUUCCCCCCCCUCCCAUCACGGGUGGGAUGAAUAGUUACGAGAUAAUAAGUAUAGGGUGUACCUUUAGCUAUAUUUUCGGGCGAACGACAUAAAUAUAUUAUUUACCUAAACAAACACCGCCAUCGGAAUAAAACACGCGACAAUAUUUCCAUGCGUGUCGGAAUGUCAGAAAAUUGUCGCGCUCCCUUCUCCGUCGAAUACCUACGACUCGCCUAGUCGUUCUGCGGGCGUGUUGCGUCCGGUAAAAAGUACGACACGGCGUACCUACCCGUGAGACUAUUGUUUUUUUUUUUGGGUUCGUAAAUGUUAUUUAAUCCGCGUGUGUGUGUUACUAUGAUAAAUUUGCCAGCCACCUUAUUAUGAUAGAGAUCCUGAGAUUUUCCGCAGACACGAUUCGGACGGAUAAUAGUAUCGAAAAUAACAUCCUUUAUACACGGAAAAACAGAGAGCCUGGCCAAUAGAGGUCAACCCGCUAAACGUUUUCUGUUGGUCGGCUGUUGUCACUGAUCGCGGACGCCACGUCAUCGUCUAAAUAUUAUCUAUAUAAUGGCGGUGCAGAUUUAAGUUUGAAAUAUGUAAAUAACGUCACAAAUGAGAAUGUACAAAUUAAAGGUGAUUAAUAGGGCGUGGAUACUUAAUUCCGUAAAAUCAUUCAGAAUAAUAUUGUACCUAUGAUAUCCGUGUACGGCCGAAAAAUGGCGAAAUUCCCUUACUAUCUAUUUAUGUACUCUACGGGAGAGUAUUGAAAAAAGUAGAAAUUAACGGACCGGACGUAUUCCUGUACAGUAGAUAAUUGACACGGCGGGGUCAUCGCAUUAGUUGAUUUUAAAAAGGAGAUAAAAUGUAUUAUAAUAUAUAGGGGAAGAGCGCGCGAUCGUUGGAAUUAUACGCGACAAGAAACUGUGAUGGGUCGAGGGUACGAUUUCCGCGACGAAAUCUAAAGGGAAGACAAGUGAGAACAUGUCCCCCAUGUUCUCAUAGCGGAGAAUUUCUGCAAACUAAACGCAAAAUUGAUUGCAGGCAGCAAGAAGAUACUAGAUAAGGUCAGAGGGUUGCUGAACAAUAUCCGUCGGAGAAGAAAUCCGAUAAAUUCAUUGAAUUAUAGGUAUUUAUAAAAUACACGUUACGUUUAAAUAAUAUUAAACAGCGUAUAGAAACAUUCGCGACGCGAAUAGUAAUAAGAAUAGAAAAAAAAAAAUUUAAUAAUAAUAUUAAAAAAAUCAAAUCGUUUAAAAAAAUCCCACGAGGCUUUCGAGUUUUGUUAUUAUUUUAUACGUUUUAAAAGUACUUAUAUAUUAUUAUAUUAUUAUCAUUAUUGUGCAUAGCCAUAAGCCGGACAUGAUAACACCGCGUCUACGGCAUAGGCGCAACUAGGGGAGAGGGGGCUUGAGUAUUUUUUUCAGAAGCUACACGUGUUUACGAAAUCGCCACUUGAAAUCGGUCGAAAAGUAAAACAAAAAUAAGGCCAAGUUGCUUGGCGGUGAAUUAAAAUAUGGGUUAUUUGGGAGGGGGGAAGGGUAACUGUUAUAACUACCCUCCUUCCGCUCCCAACCAAAAUUAGGACCUAGUUGUACGUAUAGACGUGCCACCGUCGUCGGUCUUAGCCCGCUGCACCUAUGUAUUAUAUUUAUUAUUUAUUAUGUACGAAAGUUGUCAUAGCUGUCAUAGAUUUUCGUAUCGAUGCACGGCGCGCGUACCGAACGAAAUCGAGAGUUUCUAAUACUUUACGAUCGGCUGGUUUUCGAGGUGACCG
This 3612-nucleotide long non-coding RNA is filed under the name Cinara cedri. The record is from RNAcentral. Lineage: Eukaryota; Metazoa; Arthropoda; Insecta; Hemiptera; Aphididae.